Arabidopsis thaliana (thale cress) is the source of this 278-nucleotide RNA transcript. RefSeq lists it as uncharacterized. The transcript has 2 exons. NCBI's taxonomy places the organism in Eukaryota, Viridiplantae, Streptophyta, Magnoliopsida, Brassicales, Brassicaceae. The record is from RefSeq.
AAACAAAGAGCCAUAAGCCGUGUUCGGAGAAUGCAGAUGGAGAUGUCGCCUCUAUACAUGUACCUGAAGUUAUUCUAUGAAUUCGGAGCUGGGAAUAUAGAGAACGGUCGUAAGAAUUACUAAUUUCCAACUCGGGAAGAAAAAAUAACGAAAACAUAUGGCUCAUAUUGUUGUUGUUUUUGAUGAUGUAGUUAGUAGAACCGAAGAAGACGACGAAUAAGGUUUGGGAGACUCAUCAAGUUUCCAUUGAAAUAGGAUCUACAAAGAAUACAAAGAGG